AAUACACUAAUGGGAAGGCAAUUAGACGAGCACUGAUUAAGUAGCUUUCGUAAUGGUAACACCCCAGAAUUUUUAUUUUUGUUCUUACGAAGGUGUGACACAAUUGUGUAUCUGCUUUAGUGGUUAAGUGUUCUGGGUGUGUGAGAGGUCUCAAGCUCAAGCCAGGACUUGGGCAAAUUUUGAUACUUUUAUGAAUAAGCUCAAUCUCUG
RNAcentral lists this long non-coding RNA (210 nucleotides) under Gossypium raimondii (Peruvian cotton). Its description in RNAcentral is "long non-coding RNA (GRAI_LNC008477)". Lineage: Eukaryota; Viridiplantae; Streptophyta; Magnoliopsida; Malvales; Malvaceae. The record is from RNAcentral.